Molecule: small nuclear RNA, 107 nt
Organism: Dipodomys spectabilis (banner-tailed kangaroo rat)
Lineage: Eukaryota; Metazoa; Chordata; Mammalia; Rodentia; Heteromyidae
Source: RefSeq, a predicted model, not a curated record
GUGCUCGCUUCGGCAGCACGUAUACUGAAAUUGGAAGGAUACACAGAAGACUAGCAUGGCCACUGAGCAAGGAUGAUACACAAAUUAGUGAAGCAUUCCAUAUUUUG